UCUAAUUUUCUUCCUCUUUUUUUCUCCCAUAUUCUCAAGAAAAAUUCUUCUUAAAAAUUCUAUCCCACAAGAAAAAGAAAACCUAAAAGUGGUCUGCUUUUUUAAUUUUUCUUUUGGAUGAAAAGUUAGAUCUAAACCCUAAAACUUCAGGAGGAUUUUAUGUUCUUAUAUAUACUUCACUUUCAAAGCUUCAAAGAUUUAUGAAAAUUAUGAGUGAAGUUGGAGUACUCUAUCGAAAUAUUCGUGGACAUUAUCUGAGGAUAAUAACUUGAGUAAAAGUUGAGAACUUAGCAAGAAGGAUAUUAUUAUAAAUAUUAUAAGUGAAAAUGUUUCAGCCAAAUAUGUUUGAAAGCCAUCAUCAUUUACUUGAUAUGUCACAUAAUAAAUCACCAGAAAAUGAUUUGGAUUUAAUUAGAGAUGAUGAAUUUGAGAGCAAAUCAAUGGCAGAUAUUAUGGAAAAUAAUCCAUGUGGUGAUGAUAAUGAAGAUCCUAAUCAACGUCCAAAUAAAAAGAAACGUUAUCAUAGACAUACACAAAUUCAAAUUCAAGAAAUGGAAUCGUUUUUCAAAGAGUGCCCUCAUCCAGAUGAUAAACAAAGAAAAGAACUAGGAAAAAAAUUAGGGUUAGAGCCUUUGCAAGUGAAAUUUUGGUUCCAGAACAAGCGUACUCAAAUGAAGGCUCAACAUGAGCGCCAUGAGAACUCAGAAUUGAGAGCUGAAAAUGAGAAGCUUCGGGCGGAGAAUAUAAGGUAUAAAGAAGCUCUUGGCAAUGCUAGUUGCCCGAAUUGUGGCGGUCCUGCUUCCAUUGGGGAAAUGUCAUUCGAUGAGCAGCAUUUGAGGAUUGAGAACGCUCGUCUCAGAGAAGAGAUUGACAGAAUAUCUGGAAUUGCUGCAAAAUAUGUUGGAAAGCCCAUGCUUACAUAUCCAAAUCUUUCUACUACUGGGCCACUUGAUCUAGGAGUUGGUAAUUUUGGGCCUCAAACAGGCCUAGUUGGAGAAAUAUACAAUGCUAGUGACCUUUUAAGGUCAGUUUCAGGCCCAAUAGAUGCUGAUAAGCCCAUCAUAAUUGAACUUGCUGUUGCAGCUAUGGAAGAACUUAUAAGAAUGGCCCAAACUGGAGAACCAUUGUGGAUUAAAACCCUAGAUAACUCGUCUGAGACGUUGUCUGAAGAGGAAUAUUUUCGGACUUUCCCUCAGGGAAUUGGGCCUAAACCUUUGGGCCUAACAUCUGAAGCCUCGAGAGAAUCCGCUGUUGUUAUUAUGAAUCACAUCAAUUUAGUUGAAAUUUUGAUGGAUGUGAAUCAAUGGACAAGUGUUUUUGCUGGCCUAGUAUCAAGAUCAUUGACAUUAGAAGUCCUAUCAACUGGUGUAGCUGGAAAUUACAAUGGAGCUUUACAAGUGAUGACAGCUGAGUUCCAGGUUCCUUCACCACUCGUUCCAACACGCGAAAAUUAUUUUGUGAGAUAUUGUAAACACCAUGCUGAUGGAACAUGGGCUGUAGUUGAUGUCUCCCUGGACCAUUUACGUCCUACUGCAGUGUCGCGUGAUAGAAGAAGGCCAUCGGGUUGUUUAAUUCAAGAAUUGCCAAAUGGUUACUCAAAGGUUACGUGGAUUGAGCACGUUGAAGUGGAUGAUAGAUCAGCCCAUAACAUCUAUAGACCUCUUGUGAAUUCAGGCCUCGCAUUUGGGGCGAAACGUUGGGUAGCAACUUUGGACAGACAAUGUGAACGACUAGCAAGUGCAAUGGCUAUUAACAUCCCAACAGGAGAAGUUGGAGUCAUAACGAGUCCUGAUGGCCGUAAAAGUAUGUUAAAACUUGCUGAGAGGAUGGUGAUGAGCUUUUGUGCCGGUGUUGGUGCCUCGACUGCUCACACGUGGACUACAUUAUCCGGAAGCGGUGCUGAUGAUGUUAGAGUUAUGACUCGAAAGAGUAUAGAUGAUCCAGGGAGACCUCCUGGUAUUGUCCUGAGUGCAGCCACUUCAUUUUGGCUUCCUGUUUCUCCUAAGAGGGUCUUCGAUUUUCUACGCGAUGAGAACUCCAGAAAUGAGUGGGAUAUACUUUCAAAUGGGGGACUAGUUCAAGAAAUGGCGCAUAUUGCAAAUGGUCGUGAUCCUGGAAACUGCGUAUCUCUCCUCCGCGUUAAUAGCGGGAACUCAAGCCAGAGCAACAUGCUAAUACUCCAAGAGAGUUCAACAGACUCAACAGGAUCUUAUGUUAUCUACGCUCCAGUCGAUAUUGUUGCAAUGAAUGUGGUGUUGAGUGGUGGUGAUCCCGACUAUGUUGCUCUACUACCAUCUGGAUUCGCUAUACUUCCAGAUGGUGGUGGAGGAAUUAAUACUACUUGUACUAGCGGAUCGCUUCUCACUGUUGCAUUUCAGAUUUUAGUCGAUUCGAUUCCAACUGCAAAACUAUCUCUUGGGUCAGUUGCAACUGUUAAUAGUCUCCUCAAAUGCACGGUUGAAAGGAUCAAAAAUGCUUUAGCUUGUGACACAAUGCCUGAUGGAAAAAUCUAAGCUAUAUACAUUGGAAUUUGGCUUACUGACGAGCCAAAUUCUGAUGUGACGUCCGUCAGAAAUUACCUACCUUCAGAUGAUUAAUUUGACGGAUGGAGGAGUAAAAAGCUAUGUUAUUACGCGUGGAGCCUUAAUUAUGUAUGUCGAGGCUAUGGAUAGGAGUCAAGAACGAACCUCAAAUGUAUUAGGUUCGGGUAUUGACUUCACAAGUGAGGAAAAUUUUAUUAUGUAAACCAAACAAGGCCUUAUUUUUCAUGAUGAUAAUUAAGCUCCAAAAUUUGUCAAAUUAAUGUUAAUUAAUUAUUAAUUAUGUUAUUAGUAGUUUUUACUUUUA
RNA transcript from Capsicum annuum, 2847 nucleotides. It is a transcript of the gene named homeobox-leucine zipper protein MERISTEM L1, with no coding region annotated. NCBI's taxonomy places the organism in Eukaryota, Viridiplantae, Streptophyta, Magnoliopsida, Solanales, Solanaceae. The record is from RefSeq and is a predicted model, not a curated record. The transcript is spliced from 14 exons.